AAUUUUAUUUCUUGGAGUUAUUCAACGUCAGGAAGUUUUCGCAGGCUUAGCGGUAAACGCGCGAUGAGCAGACGGCCUGACGACGUGUAAUCUUGGGAGAUCGAAAUUAUGGUGAGGUUAUGUUCUCCUUGUGCGUUUGACAGGUGUGUAACGCGUGGUGUCAAACGCGAGAAAUCUACGAGAGGUAUGCAAAGCGAAGAAAAAGCAAGGUUCACUACGUCGGGUACUCUGGCGGUCGGAAGAUUGACGGCGACGAAGCGAGAGGAGACGAUGUGUGGGACAUCGCGGUGACCGGAAGGUCCGGUGACUGGCUCCGUGAUCGUCGUGUGACGCGAAGAAUCAGGAACAGCGGUCCUGAAGGAGAGGAGACUGGCGGGAGCGAUGAGCGUUUCAGGUGAAUAUCUACGUCCGAACAAUGCACUGAGAGAGAUGUGCAGCGACCUGGUUCACUCCUGAUGUCCUGAGCAUCCUGAGGGAGGCGUCCCGGAAAGUGAAAGUCUCAUACGUCCUGAGAGAGGCCCGCAAGGAAUAAGAUGGUACAGGCACCCUUGAUCGGAAGGAUAGUCAAGAGAAUAAUUUGUUGUACAAUCAGAUAAGUGUCUUUUAAAUCUAUUUCCUGAAUCACAUUAACUGAUUAUGCUACUAAUUAUAUGAAGAACAGAGUAAAGGCUUGUAAAAACUUUCUGUUUCAGAAUGGAGUAACUGCUGGGAUAUAUGCGCCUGAGGGGCUGGGAUACAAGGAUAAUGGAUACUAUGCAUCGUGGGAUAGAAUAAAUACACCAUAAAAUUUAAGGUAAUCACUUUGCUUUAAUUGCAAUAACUGUAGCGAAGUAUUAAUGGUUUCUAUUUUUGAGUCCCUUUUUAUAAUAACUUGUAAUUCACGCGGUUUAAAAUAAAGAAAAGUAUAGAAGAAUUUAAUAUGAUAAAAGUCGAAGCGAGAUAUUUGCAAGAAAGUCGUUAAGUCAAAAGUUCGUAAAUAAUAGUGAUCACUAAUACCGAGGAAAGUAA
This is a long non-coding RNA of Temnothorax curvispinosus, 1008 nucleotides long. RefSeq lists it as uncharacterized. The transcript has 3 exons. The record is from RefSeq and is a predicted model, not a curated record. Lineage: Eukaryota; Metazoa; Arthropoda; Insecta; Hymenoptera; Formicidae.